GCCAGGUGUGGUGAUGCAUGCCUGUAGUCCCAGCUACCUGGGAGGCUGAGGCUGGAGGAUGGCUUGAGCCCAGGAGUUCUGGGCUACGGUGCCCUAUGCAGACGCAGUGUCCACACUAAGUUCGCAUCAAUUUGGUGACCUCCCGGGAGUGGGGGACCACCAGAUUGCCAAAGGAGGGGUGAACCAGCACCAGGUCAGAAACAGAGCAGGUGAAAACUCCCAUGCUAAUCAGCAGCAGGGUCGCACCUGUGAAUAGCCACUGCACGCCAGCCUGGGCAACAUAGCAAGAUCCCGACUCA
RNAcentral lists this signal recognition particle RNA (299 nucleotides) under Carlito syrichta (Philippine tarsier). RNAcentral describes it as "Metazoan signal recognition particle RNA (ENSTSYG00000028983.1)". It matches the Rfam family "Metazoan signal recognition particle RNA". From Rfam's summary of the family: The signal recognition particle (SRP) is a universally conserved ribonucleoprotein. It is involved in the co-translational targeting of proteins to membranes. Lineage: Eukaryota; Metazoa; Chordata; Mammalia; Primates; Tarsiidae. The record is from RNAcentral.